AGAGCGCAGGGUGGAUGCCUUGGCACUAAGAGCCGAUGAAAGACGUGAUAAGCUGCGAAAAGCUUCGGGGAGGAGCAAAUAUCCGAUGAUCCGGAGAUAUCUGAAUGGGGAAACCCGGCUGGACAGACUCCAGUCAUCCAUACGCCAAUCCAUAACGUAUGGAAGGGAACCCGGUGAACUGAAACAUCUAAGUAGCCGGAGGAAGAGAAAACAACAAGUGAUUCUGUGAGUAGCGGCGAGCGAAAACGGAAGAGCCCAAACCGGAAUGCGUGCAUUCCGGGGUUCGGACCGCGUAAUUGAUCUGAUAAGUUUAGCAGAAUGGUUUUGGGAAAGCCAGCCAGAGAGGGUGAAAGCCCCGUAAGCGAAAGACGAGUCAGCAAGGCGGGAUCCAGAGUACCACGAGACACGAGAAACCUUGUGGGAAUGAGCGGGGACCACCCCGUAAGGCUAAAUACUCCUUAGUGACCGAUAGCGCAUAGUACUGUGAAGGAAAGGUGAAAAGGACCCCGGGAGGGGAGUGAAAGAGAACCUGAAACCCUGUGUUUACAAGCUGUGGAACAUCUUUAAAUGAUGAACCGCGUACUUUUUGUAGAACGGUCCGGCGAGUUACGCCAUCUGGCGAGGUUAAGUUCUUAAGGAAUGGAGCCGAAGUGAAAACAAGUCUUAAUAGGGCGUGAAGUCAGAUGGAGUAGACCCGAAACCGGGUGAUCUAUCCAUGUCCAGGAUGAAGUUGCCGUAAAAGGCAAUGGAGGUCCGAACCCACAUCCGUUGAAAAGGGUGGGGAUGAGGUGUGGAUAGGGGAGAAAUUCCAAUCGAACCCGGAGAUAGCUGGUUCUCCUCGAAAUAGCUUUAGGGCUAGCCUCAUGAGAGUCUUUUGGAGGUAGAGCACUGAAUUCCCGCGGGGGCGUCAAAGCUUACCAAAGGAUAUCAAACUCCGAAUGCCAGUAAGAUGAUUCAUGGGAGUCAGACUACACGAGAUAAGUUGGGUAGUCAAAAGGGAAAGAGCCCAGACCUGCAGCUAAGGUCCCAAAAUGUGUGUUAAGUGGAAAAGGAUGUGGGAUUUCAAAGACAACCAGGAUGUUGGCUUAGAAGCAGCCAUACAUUAAAAGAGUGCGUAAUAGCUCACUGGUCGAGAGGUCCUGCGCCGAAAAUGUCCGGGGCUGAAACACACUACCGAAGCUCAGGAAUUAACGUAGUUAAUUGGUAGAGGAGCAUUCUUAAAGGGAAGAAGCAGUACCGGAAGGAGCUGUGGACUUUUAAGAAGAGAGAAUGCCGGAAUGAGUAGCGAGAGGAAGGUGAGAAUCCUUCCGGCCGAAUACCCAAGGUUUCCAGAGUAAAGCUGAUCUGCUCUGGGUAAGUCGGGGCCUAAGGUGAGGUCGAAAGACGUAGCCGAUGGACAACAGGUUGAAAUUCCUGUACUGCAGUAUAACAGAACUGUGGGGACGCAGAGGGAGAGCACUAGCGGGAAUGGAAUCCCGUGGCAAGCGAGGUAGGAGUCGCGUUGGCAAAUCCGCGUGACNNNNNNNNNNGCACUAGCGGGAAUGGAAUCCCGUGGCAAGCGAGGUAGGAGUAGAGUUGGCAAAUCCGCUCUAUAAUCCGAAGACGUGAUGCAUACCGAACUAAAGUAGGGAAAUGUGUGAGCCAGCUGCCAAGAAAAGCCGCUAUUGUUUGUACUGUACCCGUACCGUAAACCGACACAGGUAGGUGAGGAGAGAAUCCUAAGGCCGACGGGAGAAGCAUUGUUAAGGAACUCGGCAAAAUGACUCCGUAACUUCGGGAGAAGGAGUGCCAGUGAGAGCUGGCCGCAGAGAAUUGGCCCAAGCAACUGUUUAGCAAAAACACAGGUCUAUGCAAAACCGUAAGGUGAAGUAUAUGGGCUGACGCCUGCCCGGUGCUGGAAGGUUAAGGGGAGAGGUUAGCGCAAGCGAAGCUUUGAACUUAAGCCCCAGUAAACGGCGGCCGUAACUAUAACGGUCCUAAGGUAGCGAAAUUCCUUGUCGGGUAAGUUCCGACCCGCACGAAAGGCGUAAUGAUUUGGGCACUGUCUCAACAAUGCACCCGGUGAAAUUGAAAUACCAGUGAAGAUGCUGGUUACCUGCGCCAGGACGGAAAGACCCCAUGGAGCUUUACUCCAGCUUGAUACUGGGAUUCGAUAUUGUAUGUACAGGAUAGGUGGGAGGCGAAGAAGCAUUGACGCCAGUUGAUGCGGAGCCGCUGUUGGGAUACCACCCUUGCAGUAUUGGAUUUCUAACCAGCAGCCGUGACCCGGCUGGGGGACAAUGUCAGGUGGGGAGUUUGACUGGGGCGGUCGCCUCCGAAAGGGUAUCGGAGGCGCUCAAAGGUUCCCUCAGAAUGGUUGGAAACCAUUCGAAGAGUGCAAAGGCAGAAGGGAGCUUGACUGCGACACCGACGGGUGGAGCAGGUACGAAAGUAGGACUUAGUGAUCCGGUGGUAUAAAGUGGGAUUGCCAUCGCUCAACGGAUAAAAGCUACCCUGGGGAUAACAGGCUUAUCACUCCCAAGAGUUCACAUCGACGGAGUGGUUUGGCACCUCGAUGUCGGCUCAUCGCAUCCUGGGGCUGAAGUAGGUCCCAAGGGUUGGGCUGUUCGCCCAUUAAAGCGGUACGCGAGCUGGGUUCAGAACGUCGUGAGACAGUUCGGUCCCUAUCCGGCGUGGGCGUAGGAUAUUUGAGAGGAGCUGGCCUUAGUACGAGAGGACCGGGCUGGACUGACCGCUGGUGUAUCUGUUGUUCCGCCAGGAGCAUGGCAGAGUAGCCAAGUCAGGAAGGGAUAAACGCUGAAGGCAUCUAAGCGUGAAGCCCCCCUCAAGAUGAGAUAUCCCAACGAAAGUUGU
This 2853-nucleotide ribosomal RNA is filed under the name Allocoprococcus comes. RNAcentral's name for it is "bacterial LSU rRNA". It matches the Rfam family "Bacterial large subunit ribosomal RNA". Lineage: Bacteria; Bacillati; Bacillota; Clostridia; Lachnospirales; Lachnospiraceae. The record is from RNAcentral.